This is a long non-coding RNA of Thalassophryne amazonica, 1591 nucleotides long. RefSeq lists it as uncharacterized. The transcript is spliced from 3 exons. The record is from RefSeq and is a predicted model, not a curated record. Lineage: Eukaryota; Metazoa; Chordata; Actinopteri; Batrachoidiformes; Batrachoididae.
UGUGGCAGGAAUCAGCACUCAGGAAACCGGAGGAUGCGUCGCUAUGCCGACGCUCCAGGAGUACAGGCAGGGCGUGACCACGCCCACCACUCUCCCUUCAGCUGUUAGCCCCGCCUCCUUCCGACCUCCUCCAAACUCCCUUUGAUCCAACGCGAGAAGGCACUGGUAAAUUUCUCCACAUUCUAACAUCUGGAUUCUCUAUUAAGAUGAACAGUCGAGGCAAUGAGAACACGCAAAAAAAAAUAAAAAAAAAUAAAACAAAAAACAGACAGACAUACACGCGGGCCAGCUGGGUAGCUUACGGGGGAGAACAUCCAGCUCCCUGCUCUGUCUACUGGUCCCACCUGUGUUUGCUUUACAGCAGAGGUAACAAAUAUGUAAACGUCAGCAAGAUCACAACAGUAAAACAAAGAUAACGCAACGGACGACUAGAAAUAAACAGCUGAAUUAGUCGCACCUUUGUCGGAAAAUGAGAAAAUCAACAGCAGGCUCGAAUUUGGCGUCUUGCUCCGUGGUGACACAGAAAACAAAACUCUAGAUUCAAAACGACUUUUCAACACAAAGAGGAUGAGACUGAUAAGACUUUGGUCCGAUACCCUGUCUUCACACACUGAUGUGCAAAAUGAACAGAAAGGGUGAAGACUUGGGGCGAAGGGCGGGUAUUGGGUGUUUGUCUUUCAACGCAAUCAUACUUUGGAUAAGGAGUUGAGAUGGCUUUGAUUCCAGGUCGACUCGGCUGGAAAUGGGGACCAUCCUUGGAUGGGGCGUGUCCUAUGAUGGACUGGCUUCCCAUCCAGGGGGAGGUGUAGACGUUCUACCUCUUCAUGCUGCGGAAUCUCGAGGAUAAGUACCAGCACCAAAGGGCCUCAGGGCCUAUAUAGGAUUGGUCCUCACCCCACAUCAACGGGUUAGUCCUGCACAGCCUAAAAUGCUUGUACACUGGUAAAGUUUUGGUGAUUUCAGGUAUCACAGCACAUCAGAGUUGCCAAAAGGCACCUGCGAGAUUCCACCUGUUUUUUUUUUAAACCGUGAUGUGUUCAGUAUGUUUUUGUCCAAUCACAGCCAGAGAAGCUGGGAACUCCUUUAGAGUUGUCAUGGUAUUGUGGUUGUUUCCCUUGUUGUCCUCCAUGCACGCUCACCAUAGAGAAAGACAGAACAACUAGAGCACUGACUCAUUACACUGCGUAUGCAUCUCAAGUGCACCCUCAUGUGGAGCUGUCCGCCAUCACCGAAUUAGGCUGAAAGUGCUCCUGAACAAUAUAAACUAAUGCAAGCAAACAAAGUGCGACAUAAACUUAUCUGAGUGAAAUCAGGAAAAUAAGUAAACUAAUAGUACCGGCAUUUGAUAAAAAAAACUUUUCUUAUCACAAUUUAGGGACAGAAUGUCCUUGGACAGCUUUGAGCUGGAGCCAUUAACCAGAGCUAUGUGCAGUACAAAGCUUAAAGGUGUAAUGCUUAAAUGUCCAGCCAAGCCUGCAAAACUUUUAAACCCGUGUGUCAACUCGCAUACGUCAGCUUGAAAAUGCAUAAACAGGUGGAUAUGGAAUAUACCGGGAAAACGUAAAAUAAUCCAAAAUAAUGCAAACUCAUU